RNAcentral lists this long non-coding RNA (264 nucleotides) under Eucalyptus grandis. RNAcentral's name for it is "long non-coding RNA (EGRA_LNC003412)". The record is from RNAcentral. Lineage: Eukaryota; Viridiplantae; Streptophyta; Magnoliopsida; Myrtales; Myrtaceae.
CACCAUUUUUGACUUCUAGUAGAUUCUUUUACAAUUUUUUUCUUGAACAAUAGACUCUUUAAGGCAAAUAUCUCUGCCAUUUGCAGAGAUAAUUUUAUAGACUCUUCUAGGAUUUUUCUUGAAUUCUCUAGCUCAAGUCUAUCUUGAAGUUUCUAGAAAUUGGAUCAAUAAUUUGACACUCCUCCUUGAUCCAAUUUCGUGUUACUGCAAGCAUUUCCUACAAUGUCUCGAACUUGGCUAGCGAUAGUGCUUUAGUGAAUAUGU